UACGAAGGGGGCUAGCGUUGCUCGGAAUCACUGGGCGUAAAGGGUGCGUAGGCGGGUCUUUUAAGUCAGGGGUGAAAUCCUGGAGCUCAACUCCAGAACUGCCUUUGAUACUGAAGAUCUUGAGUUCGGGAGAGGUGAGUGGAACUGCGAGUGUAGAGGUGAAAUUCGUAGAUAUUCGCAAGAACACCAGUGGCGAAGGCGGCUCACUGGCCCGAUACUGACGCUGAG
RNAcentral lists this ribosomal RNA (228 nucleotides) under uncultured bacterium. RNAcentral describes it as "partial 16S ribosomal RNA". It matches the Rfam family "Bacterial small subunit ribosomal RNA", at positions 524 to 750 of the family's 1533-position model. The record is from RNAcentral.